GGGGGGGGGGGGGGGGGGGGGUGGCGCGGGGGGGGCGGGGGGCGGGGCGGUGAGGGCUGGCUCUUACGGGUGGCGAGUGGCGGACGGGUGAGGAGGACAUCGGAAUCUACUUUUUCGUGGGGGAUAACGUAGGGAAACUUACGCUAAUACCGCAUACGACCUACGGGUGGAAGCAGGGGAUCUUCGGACCUUGCGCGAUUGACUGAGCCGAUGUCGGAUUAGCUAGUUGGCGGGGUAAAGGCCCACCAAGGCGACGAUCCGUAGCUGGUCUGAGAGGAUGAUCAGCCACACUGGAACUGAGACACGGUCCAGACUCCUACGGGAGGCAGCAGUGGGGAAUAUUGGACAAUGGGCGCAAGCCUGAUCCAGCCAUACCGCGUGGGUGAAGAAGGCCUUCGGGUUGUAAAGCCCUUUUGUUGGGAAAGAAAAGCAGCAGGUUAAUACCCCGCUGUUCUGACGGUACCCAAAGAAUAAGCACCGGCUAACUUCGUG
This 492-nucleotide ribosomal RNA is filed under the name uncultured bacterium. RNAcentral describes it as "partial 16S ribosomal RNA". It matches the Rfam family "Bacterial small subunit ribosomal RNA", at positions 38 to 507 of the family's 1533-position model. The record is from RNAcentral.